AAUUUUUGUAGUUUGUUUUAGUUUUUAAUUUUCAAGUUUUCUUUUGAUAAUUGUUAUUCUAAAAAAUUGAAAGCAAUGGGUAGUUUUGUUCAAAGUUCAAAUUUAUACAACAACGUCUACCUACUAAAAAAUGGUAUAUGCCGAGUUUUAAGUUGAUUCGAAAGUU
Molecule: non-coding RNA, 166 nt
Organism: Caenorhabditis elegans
Lineage: Eukaryota; Metazoa; Nematoda; Chromadorea; Rhabditida; Rhabditidae
Source: Ensembl